GCCGGGGUGGCGUAAUGGUAGCCGCGCUCGACUCAAAAUCGAGUCUCGCAAGAGGUGGAAGUUCAAGUCUUCUCCCCGGCA
RNAcentral lists this transfer RNA (81 nucleotides) under Parcubacteria bacterium RAAC4_OD1_1. It matches the Rfam family "tRNA". Rfam says of the family: Transfer RNA (tRNA) molecules are approximately 80 nucleotides in length. RNAcentral also lists the same sequence under 1 other name. Lineage: Bacteria; Candidatus Parcubacteria. The record is from Rfam by way of RNAcentral.